GGACGAACCGCAACAACAAUGCUCAGUUGUUCAUAUCUCUGUUUUCACCAUGCACUCAGUCGCCAAUGGAUUUGUCUUCGUGGUUCCGACGCAGCCUCUUAAGGAAGAGUGAAAAAACCAAAAACCCAGAUCCCUCUGAGCAAACUCUCCUGCCCCGAAGUGAAGAAGAAGAGCAACUGGGAGUCACAGAGGAACUGAUCGACCAUGUCAAGUCUUUCACUUUAGACACUUUCAAGAAUUUCCCUCUCCCAGAUGAUGAGGGAGCUGAAAAUUCUCCGACAACUUCGAGCAACACUCAAAAAGAUCUAUCUGAAUGGCAGGAAAAACAUGCCACUCUUGUGCUCUCAAAAGUGAAGGAACUUUCCCAUCUGAGAUAUAAACUAUGCCCGGGAUACUUGAAGGAGCAUCAAUUUUGGAGAAUAUACUUUCUGCUUGUAAAGAAACAAGUGGCUGACAUGAUAAGGAGUUAUCCCAACAAACAUUCAUGACUGAGUUUGUUCCUUAACAAAAAAUUCAUUCAAGAAUUAACGUGAUAAGAAGACUGCUUUGGAAUAAUGAAAGUUGCUUACUCAUACAACUAACUUUGAUACGAGCUGCGUGCCAUACAACUAGCAAGGCUGAAAGAAAUGGCAGUGGAGAAUGAGAAGUCUACAAAUUCCAUUGUACAUGAAGUUGAAAUGUCAGAGGCAAAGCAGGGAGCAAGCUUAGCCCUUCCAACUCCAUAGCUUUAUGCAUUUCUUUUUAGGAGUAGGAAUGUAUUGGCUAGUCGACUGACUGAUCCACUGAACAGAAACGUAUUGGAAAAAUGUAGAAUCGUUUAUGCAUUCUUUUUCUUUUUCUUUUUUUAACUGUGCAGACGAAAUAGUAGUUUCUUAACGGCUUUCAUAUUAGAGCUUCCCCAGUAAGGAUUUUAUGUUGA
Molecule: RNA transcript, 919 nt
Organism: Prunus persica (peach)
Lineage: Eukaryota; Viridiplantae; Streptophyta; Magnoliopsida; Rosales; Rosaceae
Exons: 5
Source: RefSeq, a predicted model, not a curated record